GCCUUUGUGGAUCAAUGUAGAUCGCUUCCUCCCUAUGGAGGUAGUGCCACCGGAAUAUAUGGAAAGAGAAAUGGGUUCGAAUCCCAUCGAAGGCG
Non-coding RNA from Mycena polygramma, 95 nucleotides. Lineage: Eukaryota; Fungi; Basidiomycota; Agaricomycetes; Agaricales; Mycenaceae. The record is from the annotation of a GenBank genome assembly.